RNAcentral lists this long non-coding RNA (916 nucleotides) under Homo sapiens (human). RNAcentral describes it as "HSALNT0400727". The record is from RNAcentral. Lineage: Eukaryota; Metazoa; Chordata; Mammalia; Primates; Hominidae.
CAAAACCAUAGGUACCAUGUGCAGGAUUACUAGGCCCAAAGUUGCAGAGAUUCUAAAUCAGUCAUUCUGGAAGCAGACCCAGGAAUGUGGGUUUAUAAAAGAAAAAUCCUCCGGAUGGCUCUGUGACCCACUGAACCGGAGUUUAGUUAUAUUCCAAAAGCGAUCCUCCACCAGCUUCAGCCUCAGCUGGGUGCUUGAUAGGAAUGCGGAAUCUCAGGCCACACCCCAGACCUGCUGAAUUGCAAUCUGCGGGGAACUGUGUACACACAGGAGCAAGAGAUACUCCGCUCUACAACCUCAGGGCAAAUGCCUCAGGGCACCAUUUGACCCUUUAAAAUUCCAGGGUUCCAAAGUUCAACAUGGGAAUGUUAACAAUCUAGAAUGUAGAUUUUUGAGGUCCUAGAAUUCUAGUGUUCUAAGGUGUUAGGAUUCUAACACCCUAGGGUUUCCAGAUUUAAGACUGCUGGGAUCCCAUUGUUCUAAAAUCCUAAGGUUCAGGCCAGGCGCGGUGGCUUAUGCCUGUAAUCCCAGCUCUUUUGAAGGUCAAGAUAUGUCCACUGAUCCGCAUCUUCAUCCACUCCCUGGAUGUGAAUGUCAUUCAGCAGGUCGUCGAUAAUCCUCAGCACAAAACCCAGCUGCAAACCCUCAUCUGAAGAGGACGAAUGAGGAGGACCACUGUGGUGCAUGCUGAUUGGUUCCCAGUGGCUUGCCCCACCCCCUUAUAGCAUCUCCCUCCAGGAAGCUGCUGCCACCACCUAACCAGCGUGAAAGCCUGAGUCCCACCAGAAGGACCUUCCCAGAUACCCCUUCUCCUCACAGUCAGAACAGCAGCCUCUACACAUGUUGUCCUGCCCCUGGCAAUAAAGGCCCAUUUCUGCACCCUUCUGUGUGGCUUGUUGCAUUCCCUCCAUUUGGG